RNAcentral lists this ribosomal RNA (494 nucleotides) under uncultured bacterium. RNAcentral's name for it is "partial 16S ribosomal RNA". It matches the Rfam family "Bacterial small subunit ribosomal RNA", at positions 28 to 507 of the family's 1533-position model. The record is from RNAcentral.
GACGAACGCUGGCGGCGUGCUUAACACAUGCAAGUCGAACGGAAAGGCCUGCUUUCCCUUGUGGAUUGCGGGUACUCGAGUGGCGAACGGGUGAGUAACACGUGAGUGAUCUGCCCCCAACUUGGGUAUAAGCCUGGGAAACUGGGUCUAAUUCCCGAUAGGACUGCAGGGUGGUGCCUGUGGUGGAAAACGAUUUUCUAGUGGUUGGGGAUGAGCUCGCGGCCUAUCAGCUUGUUGGUGGGGUAAUGUCCUACCAAGGCGGCGACGGGUAGCCGGACUGGGAGGGUGGACGGCAACAGUGGGACUGAGACACGGCCCAGACUCCUACGGGAGGCAGCAGUGGGGAAUAUUGGACAAUGGGCGGAAGCCUGAUGCAGCGACGCCGCGUGGGGGAUGACGGCCUUCGGGUUGUAAACUCCUUUCGACCGCGAGGAAGCCACCUGGUUGGAAGGGUGGUGACGGUAGUGGUAGAAGAAGCACCGGCUAACUACGUG